GACGAACGCUGGCGGCGUGCUUAAUACAUGCAAGUCGAACGAACGGACGCGGCGUUUGCUGGUCUGUUGUUAGCGGCGGGCGGGUGAGACACACGUGGAUAACCCACCUAUCUGACUGGGAUCUCUUCGAGAAACCGGAGCUAAUACCGGAUAAUAUUUUGAACCGCAUGGUGCAAAAGAGAGAGACGGUGUUGCUGUCACUUCUAGAUGCAUCUGAGCUGCUUUAGCUAGUAGGUACGGUAACGGCUUACGAAGGCAACGAUGCGUAGCCGAGUUGAGGGGGUGGUCGCCCCCACUGGAGCUGAGACGCGGUCCAGGCUCCUACGGGAGGCAGCAGUAGCGAAUCGUCGGCAAUGGGCGAAAGCCUGACGGAGCGGCGGCGCGUGAGUGAUGAAGGUCUUCGGAUCGUAAAACUGUCUUAUUGGUGAAGAACAUAUUUGGAAGGAAAUGAGCACAUCGUGACGGUACCUGAUCAGAAAGCCACGGCUAACUACGUG
RNAcentral lists this ribosomal RNA (497 nucleotides) under uncultured bacterium. Its description in RNAcentral is "partial 16S ribosomal RNA". It matches the Rfam family "Bacterial small subunit ribosomal RNA", at positions 28 to 507 of the family's 1533-position model. The record is from RNAcentral.